UGAACGCUGGCGGCAGGCCUAACACAUGCAAGUCGAGCGGCAGCACGGGUACUUGUACCUGGUGGCGAGCGGCGGACGGGUGAGUAAUGCCUAGGAAUCUGCCUGGUAGUGGGGGAUAACGCUCGGAAACGGACGCUAAUACCGCAUACGUCCUACGGGAGAAAGCAGGGGACCUUCGGGCCUUGCGCUAUCAGAUGAGCCUAGGUCGGAUUAGCUAGUUGGUGGGGUAAUGGCUCACCAAGGCGACGAUCCGUAACUGGUCUGAGAGGAUGAUCAGUCACACUGGAACUGAGACACGGUCCAGACUCCUACGGGAGGCAGCAGUGGGGAAUAUUGGACAAUGGGCGAAAGCCUGAUCCAGCCAUGCCGCGUGUGUGAAGAAGGUCUUCGGAUUGUAAAGCACUUUAAGUUGGGAGGAAGGGCAGUUACCUAAUACGUAAUUGUUUUGACGUUACCGACAGAAUAAGCACCGGCUAACUCUGUGCCAGCAGCCGCGGUAAUACAGAGGGUGCAAGCGUUAAUCGGAAUUACUGGGCGUAAAGCGCGCGUAGGUGGUUCGUUAAGUUGGAUGUGAAAGCCCCGGGCUCAACCUGGGAACUGCAUUCAAAACUGUCGAGCUAGAGUACGGUAGAGGGUGGUGGAAUUUCCUGUGUAGCGGUGAAAUGCGUAGAUAUAGGAAGGAACACCAGUGGCGAAGGCGACCACCUGGACUGAUACUGACACUGAGGUGCGAAAGCGUGGGGAGCAAACAGGAUUAGAU
RNAcentral lists this ribosomal RNA (760 nucleotides) under Pseudomonas frederiksbergensis. RNAcentral's name for it is "bacterial SSU rRNA". It matches the Rfam family "Bacterial small subunit ribosomal RNA", at positions 30 to 783 of the family's 1533-position model. The record is from RNAcentral. Lineage: Bacteria; Pseudomonadati; Pseudomonadota; Gammaproteobacteria; Pseudomonadales; Pseudomonadaceae.